This 306-nucleotide ribosomal RNA is filed under the name uncultured bacterium. Its description in RNAcentral is "partial 16S ribosomal RNA". It matches the Rfam family "Bacterial small subunit ribosomal RNA", at positions 507 to 807 of the family's 1533-position model. The record is from RNAcentral.
GACAGCAGCAGCCACGGUAAUACAGAGGGUGCAAGCGUUAAUCGGAAUUACUGGGCGUAAAGCGCGCGUAGGUGGUUUGUUAAGUUGGAUGUGAAAUCCCCGGGCUCAACCUGGGAACUGCAUCCAAAACUGGCAAGCUAGAGUAUGGUAGAGGGUGGUGGAAUUUCCUGUGUAGCGGUGAAAUGCGUAGAUAUAGGAAGGAACACCAGUGGCGAAGGCGACCACCUGGACUGAUACUGACACUGAGGUGCGAAAGCGUGGGGAGCAAACAGGAUUAGAUACCCCAGUAGUCCCUGUCUCUUAUAC